UUCUUCUGACCUUACAAAGGGCCAGCCCAAAGCAGUAAACCCAGCUGGCUGAUGUGCAGCGCAUGUGCAUGGCUGAGCUGUUCUGAGCACUGAUAUAGCUGCUCCUCUCCUUGGAAAUUAAAGAAGAUGUGGAAAUUACAUGAAAUGGAGUAGUGAUACAGGAGGUACAAAGGGGGAAAAGAAUUCUCUUAAGCUGUGGAAGGCUUAAGGCCUUAAAACCUGGUGGAGGAGCAAUAGGAAUGGUUGGGUGGAUGGAUGGAUAAAUACAGACAUGGGAGCACUGGAUACACACCCGAUCUGUGCUCCGCAGCCAUCAUGUGCACGAGAAUGCCACCAGCUAAAGGAAAAGCAGAGGAGGUGUGAGAAGGACAUGCUCGGCUGCUCCUCACAGGGACCCCGAAGACCCUCCUUGGCCAAGGGGAUGCAGCAGGAAUUUGGGGGAAUGCUCCAGCCUGGGUCUCUCUGCACCGGUCCCAGCAGUGAUGCUUCUGUGGCUGAUACACUGCAGCGAUGCCGCCUUCUUGGAGAGAUCCUCGCAACGCAGUUAAACCUCUGGUGACCGCUGGAUAUCUACAGCUAAAACCCAGCACAACAAACCCCAGCCAAGGUGAUGCUUUGAAACCAAAGAGGCCAGAGUUUGUAACUGCCCAAUCUGCUUAUGCUGGUGGGCAGAAGCAGUUAAUCUAACAAUCGGUACAGCAGUUACGUGACUACACAGGCGAUGCGGAGACGAGGGGGUAGGAUCCAAGGUCUGUGUUGCUACCUUGCAAAUCUGCUCUCUCCUCCCAGCCCUGAACCCAGCACUGCACGCUGGAUUUCAAGGUGUGGCAUUUGCCUUUUGCCAUAAAUACUGGGUGAGGAAAGAGCCCUGAAGUCUACAGCCCAGCAGGUUUUUUUCUUUUCCUUCCUGUAGACAACAUUGAUAUUUGAUGGUGGGGAGGGGUUUUAGUAGGCAAAAUACACCAUUUUUUAUGCAGAAAAUGUACAUUAGCAAUAUUUUCUCCUGCAGCCAUACAUAUUUUUUUUUUCAAACUCAUGCCUCAGCCAUAGGCCUGUAAAUUCUAAUUGUUAUUAAUUUAAAGCAAUUAAAAAUUGUGGCUUUC
Molecule: long non-coding RNA, 1103 nt
Organism: Pezoporus flaviventris
Lineage: Eukaryota; Metazoa; Chordata; Aves; Psittaciformes; Psittacidae
Exons: 2
Source: RefSeq, a predicted model, not a curated record